RNAcentral lists this long non-coding RNA (1539 nucleotides) under Triticum aestivum (bread wheat). Its description in RNAcentral is "long non-coding RNA (TAES_LNC025269)". Lineage: Eukaryota; Viridiplantae; Streptophyta; Magnoliopsida; Poales; Poaceae. The record is from RNAcentral.
UAAAAUGAUGUUUGUAAAAUUUUGUAUUCGGUCUGCCAUUUGCCAGUGAAUUAGGGCUGCAUUUUAGAUUAGAACCAUGAAGUAACUAUGAUGUGCACCGCUUGAAACCAGAGUGAGUCUAAUGAAAGACGGGCAUUUGAUCAUGUUCUAUUUAAUUAUCAUUUCGUUCGUUUCGUCGUUCCAUCCCUCCCUGAACUGACCUUACCCACAACUCUUACCUUUUCAUUUCAUUUUAUCAAGGAAAGACUGUGGGGUUUGUGUAUCCUUAUCCAGGACAUUGUGAAGGCUUCUGAUGCAGUUUACAAGAAGCAAUUGGUGAGCUAAUUCAGAGGUUAGGCAACGCUUGUCAUGAUUUUUUAUUUCUGAAGCCACAUUAGCAAGCAUCAUAAAUAUAACUAAAUGUUUGCUGGCUUCCGUAAUUGCCUACAUCAAUGUAAUCUUCCACACUGAAAACACUCAUUUGAGAUUUGCAAGAAGCCUGCAUACUACUUACUGUUGAUGCAUUAACAUUGCAUCCUUCAGAAUUAGCAAGCAGGGCAUAAUGUUAGGUGUCUGUUUGCGGAAUUGCUGAAAAUAAUUGGUCUAUUUAAUCAAUGAGAAAUAGGAAGAUUCUUGUAAACUGCAGUGUGCUACUUGCUAUACUGGCUAAGCUACAUGACUUACUCUUUAGUGACAUUUCAUAUCGGCAGUGUGCUACUUGCUAUACUGGCUAAGCUUAAUUUUCUUCUUCCUGUGAACAUGUAGAUAAGUGAAAUGAUAAUAAGAAGGUUAAAUAAUGUUGUUCAAUCUUUCCGUCAAGCAACCUGUUUGGCCCCAAAUGUCCGCACCGACGCGGUGACGCCCGUGGGCGCCACCGUUCCUUCCUGAAGGGCAUCGGGUAUUCCCCUUUCCCAUGCCCGUCCGCGUACCGGGGGAAACCCUAGGACUUGUCCGGGCAGUAGCGUCAUUGUUGUCGUGUUCUUUCUUGAAGGUGUUGCUUGGCAUGCGGAGGUUCAAGGUGCUAGGAGCGAGGUGGUAAAUCUCCGGUGGGCGCAGCGGUUGCGGGUCAUCAUCAUUUUCGUCGAUCCGACGCUGUCGACAUUAUUUUCUCUCUUCUUUCUCUUUUUUUUUCGUUUGGGCGUGCUUGUGCUGUUUGCCCCAGCAUUGGACUCUUGGUUGUAUUGGGUUGUUGCUAUAUCUAUAUAGCGGGGCGAAAGCCUAUUUCGUAAGAUUCUUCCAUGAAUUCAAGACUUGGCAAACCACUCCCAUUACAAGGUUCCAUAACACAUGCUGGAUUUGUAUGUCAGGAUAUCUGAAGGGCAAAAACUUAGUACAUUUAUUCUGUUUUUUAAUAAAUCUCCCUCUUGAAAUGAGCUACAACUACUAACGAGUUAUUCUUCUCAUAUCUGUAAGAACACAUUUCUAUAUAUGGCUUCUAUUAGGGCGACUUGAUUGAGCAAAAUGAUUAAAGGAAUGCGAAGAUGGGCCUUCUUGAGUUUUGACCACGCCUAAUAAUACUUGUGAAUUAUGGCUACUCUCCAUGCAGUUUGGUACGGUUAU